UGUUGCAGGUACAUGUAAUAAAUGCCCACCCUGCUGUUUUAAGGGGACAGAAGAGGUCUCAGGGGAAAUCAUGAAGUGUUAUGAGCAGAAACCAGGACCAGCCUGUGCUAACCAUUUCUAUGUUGUUGAGGACAAACGGGGGAAACAUUUUUGCAUCAACCCGAAUUCCCAAUGGCUGCAAAACAAGAGAAACCAGGAAGGGUUAAGCUGCAAGCUAAUCUGACAAGCAUCAUCGGCACAAAUUCAAUUUUGGAGCAAAACAAUUUUGUAUGACUGUUGUCAAAUGUUCAUCUGAACCAGCAGGUCAUUUUGAAAGACUAUAGGGAAACUGUGCCGUAGUCAAUAAAAAUUCAAAUACACAUUG
Poecilia reticulata (guppy) is the source of this 364-nucleotide long non-coding RNA. RefSeq lists it as uncharacterized. Lineage: Eukaryota; Metazoa; Chordata; Actinopteri; Cyprinodontiformes; Poeciliidae. The record is from RefSeq and is a predicted model, not a curated record.